This 468-nucleotide ribosomal RNA is filed under the name uncultured bacterium. Its description in RNAcentral is "partial 16S ribosomal RNA". It matches the Rfam family "Bacterial small subunit ribosomal RNA", at positions 28 to 507 of the family's 1533-position model. The record is from RNAcentral.
GACGAACGCUGGCGGCGUGCUUAACACAUGCAAGUCGAACGGAAAGGCCCUGCUUUUGUGGGGUGCUCGAGUGGCGAACGGGUGAGUAACACGUGAGUAACCUGCCCUUGACUUUGGGAUAACUUCAGGAAACUGGGGCUAAUACCGGAUAGGAGCUCCUGCUGCAUGGUGGGGGUUGGAAAGUUUCGGCGGUUGGGGAUGGACUCGCGGCUUAUCAGCUUGUUGGUGGGGUAGUGGCUUACCAAGGCUUUGACGGGUAGCCGGCCUGAGAGGGUGACCGGCCAGAAGGGGACAGAGAUGCGGCCGAGACUCACGCGGGAUGCAGCAGUGGGGAAUGGGGGAAGAUGGGCGGAGGACUGAAGACGCAACGCGGCGGGGGGGAUGACGGACUUAGGGUUGUAAACAGAGAACGCCUGUGACGAAGCGUGAGUGACGGUAAUGGGUAAAGAAGAACAGGCUAAGUACGUG